Long non-coding RNA from Pan troglodytes (chimpanzee), 2642 nucleotides. RefSeq lists it as uncharacterized. The transcript is spliced from 5 exons. NCBI's taxonomy places the organism in Eukaryota, Metazoa, Chordata, Mammalia, Primates, Hominidae. The record is from RefSeq and is a predicted model, not a curated record.
CUUAGCUGAGGCUAAUAUCUGACACUUCCCUGUAAAAGUGACAGUGCACUUAGUAAUCUGUGGAAUGCCUGCACACAUGAAUUGAGAAGAUGCUGGCAGGUCCUUCCCUGACCUUCAUAAGUCAUCAGCUUGUUCCGUGAUUCAUAGUAUUGAAUGGUGCUUUCUUCUUCCUUUACCUUGCUGUAAAUGCUAUUAAUGAUCCAGAGAAGUGAAAGCCCUAAAUCUUUUUUCAACAGGAAAACAAGAAUGGGACAGUAGCACCACCAUUCUCAAGCCUGCAGAACUGCAGGAAAAGAGAAAGUGAAAGACAGCCUGGGUGGAAGGAAAAAUGGCCUUUUUACUAACACUUAAAGAAAAUGUUAUCCUACGUUCAUCUGAACUGGAGAAGGAAGUCACGUCACUCACUUUAUAAUUAUCAUACAAAACAGGAAGUAGAGUUUUAUUCAUUUCCUAUGGAAUCUAAUCAAUGCAAGCAACCCAUCUGGAUAUUCCAGGAAUAAAACCAUAUGAAAGAUUUUCAACAUUUUGGCUUCCAGCAUUCUGGUUAUCUACAAAGAUCAGAGUAGUUGUAUAAUGGACAAAUCUUCACUUUAUUUGAUUCUGUGUAGAUAUAGUCUUUUAUACUCCUGAAGGAAAAUGCUCUGAUAAAAGGAUAGAAUUCCUUCCUGCAUUUAUUCUUAUUCAAAAACUAUAAUUUCAGUUCCACCACUGCAACUACAGUAUAUUUUCAUAUGAGUAGCCAAGACAAUCUCCAGCCCUUAGUAGUCUCUGGCAUAUGACACAUAACCUUUUCAAAACUGAAAGAAAGUCCUUGAGUUGAGAAGUCUAAAGAACAGUGUUUCUGUCAUGGUGUAGACCAGAUUGAGAAAGUUCCACCCAAGUGGCAGAUCCUUGGAGGUAUUUCUCCAAGUCUGUGGAGAAGCAUAAUUAAUGACUGGCUCCUUAGAACACAAAAACAACCACAAAAGACCAAGUGAUAUGUCGGGGAGAAAUGUCCCUUCUGAAAUACAUAAUGAGUAGGAAGAAAUGCCAGUGAAACAUUUCCAAUUCAUUAAAAUACAAAUUUCCUAGUGCAAAGAAAUACCUAAUACAAUAAAAUUCAGAGGCUAUUUUAUAUUCUCCCACAUUGCUUGCUCUGAAGUGAAAAGAAAUAAUAUUUUCCAAAUUUUGACAAGCCUUUUAAAUCUUCAUUGAAUUAUCUGUAUGCUCCAGGUGAGGAAAUAAUAAAAUCAUAGAUAUGACCCGGAAAAGGGAUUUGUGGAUCACUUAGCCCAACCCGCUCAUUUUUAAAAUGAGAAAGAGAGACCCAAAGAAGUGAGGAGACUUAACACAAACCAUCAGAGUAGUUAAUAUCAGGUCCAAGACUGAAACCAGGCCUCCUGACCUAGCGCGCAGCUCUACCAACAGCUCCCUCAGUUCCAUUCCAGGCUUCCUCUGAAAACCAUCUUACCUCCAUCUGCUGGCGCCUGCUCUGCCUCACACGUCAGGCUGGAGAAUCAGCAGUGAGCAGAGGGAUAUCCUCCCCUUUGUCUACAUAAGCUGUGUUUAUCCUGCAAGGCCUAUCUCAAGCCUUCCCUGCCUAGUACAGCCACAGCAGUCGCGCUCUCUCCUGAAGUACAGAUAAUGUAUUCACAUGAUUCAGCAGCAUAAAAAUUUUCAGUGAAGAAAAAUAAAAAGUUUUAGAUUCCCGAAAUACCUGGCUUUAAUAUUAUGCAUGUUCUAGUUUGGAUAAUUAAUUCAGCUAGCUGUGAUUCCUCACUUCAAUAAACAGAGGAUGAAGAAAAAUGCAAAAUUUUACACUUAUACAAAAGGUGUUUAUUUCUCAAGGUGUCAGCCAGACAAAGAACAACAAAUUUCUACAAAUUCUGUAUUUGGUUUGGCUUGAAAGACCCAGAUCAGUCUUUUUCAAUUGUCGUCAGAGAUAUAUCAGUCUCUCCAAUGUAAUUACAAUGCUCUAUACCGUGAAAAGCAAGUCAUAGAGGAGUAAAGCAUGUGCAGGGUAGGCUUCCAUUUUAAAAGGCAGGACUUCUACUGGUGCUCACACUUCCACCUUCCAAGCACACACAAGCACAGGCACCCAUCUCAUGCUGAUGUCCAGUGAAAGGCAUGUCGGGCGUUGUUUCAUAAUUGAAGAAGAAAAGCUUUUCCACAGAGAUAUUACACCAGAUGAAGCCGCAGAGGAGGAUGAAAAGGCUGUUUUUCAGAAAUGAAAUCCCCAUCAAUGGAUCCACUGUCACGGAGACCUCAAAUAAGGAGAAACUGAGGACUGAACUCUGCUGUUCUUUGUUCUAAAUUUCUUCCUGAGUGGCUUGGAGAGAAGGUCAUGCCCCUGACCCAGACCUAACAUUCUUUUCUGCUGAUCCCAAUUUUUAGACAAAGCUUUGCCUCCUUAACCAAUUACAAAUCGGAAAAUCUUUGAAUCCACCUAUGAGCUCUGGGCCCCUGCUUGGAGAUAUGUCACCUUUUUAGGUUAAACCAAUGUAUAGCCUUCAUGUAUUCAUUUAUGACUUGCCUAUAAUCUCUGCCUCCCCACCUUUAAAACCCUUACCUAUAAGCCAUUGGGGAGUUCCAGGCUUAAGUGUUACCAGCCCCAUUCUCUUUGCUUGAUGCCCUGUAAUAAAUGCCUCUCUUUCUGUCACUGC